GAGGAUAUAGCUCAGUGGUAGAGCACAUGCCUGGCGUGCAGGAGGUCCUGGGUUCAAUCCCCAGUACCUCCA
Non-coding RNA from Vicugna pacos (alpaca), 72 nucleotides. The record is from the annotation of a RefSeq genome assembly. Lineage: Eukaryota; Metazoa; Chordata; Mammalia; Artiodactyla; Camelidae.